Neotoma lepida (desert woodrat) is the source of this 45-nucleotide non-coding RNA. The record is from Rfam. Lineage: Eukaryota; Metazoa; Chordata; Mammalia; Rodentia; Cricetidae.
AAACAGGCUUCUUUUGAAACCACCAAUGUAUUCAUUAGUGUUUAG